GAGUUACUAGUAAUCGCAGAUCAGAAUGCUGCGGUGAAUGCGUUCCCGGGUCUUGUACACACCGCCCGUCACACCACGGAAGUUGGGGCGCCCGAAGCCACUUAGCUAACCCUUUUGGGAAGCGAGUGUCGAAGGUGAAAUCAAUAACUGGGGUGAAGUCGUAACAAGGUAUC
Molecule: ribosomal RNA, 173 nt
Filed under: uncultured bacterium
Lineage: Bacteria
Description: partial 16S ribosomal RNA
Rfam family: Bacterial small subunit ribosomal RNA
Source: RNAcentral